UAGCUGUGAUGAAUUGAACUAUCACCAUCUUUCGACUGAGAUUUCAAGAUGAUAUUUCAUUACUGAUGUUUUUU
This is a small nucleolar RNA of Mercenaria mercenaria, 74 nucleotides long. NCBI's taxonomy places the organism in Eukaryota, Metazoa, Mollusca, Bivalvia, Venerida, Veneridae. The record is from RefSeq and is a predicted model, not a curated record.